GUACAAGCAGUGGGAGCACGCUUAGGCGUGUGACUGCGUACCUUUUGUAUAAUGGGUCAGCGACUUAUAUUCUGUAGCAAGGUUAACCGAAUAGGGGAGCCGAAGGGAAACCGAGUCUUAACUGGGCGUUAAGUUGCAGGGUAUAGACCCGAAACCCGGUGAUCUAGCCAUGGGCAGGUUGAAGGUUGGGUAACACUAACUGGAGGACCGAACCGACUAAUGUUGAAAAAUUAGCGGAUGACUUGUGGCUGGGGGUGAAAGGCCAAUCAAACCGGGAGAUAGCUGGUUCUCCCCGAAAGCUAUUUAGGUAGCGCCUCGUGAAUUCAUCUCCGGGGGUAGAGCACUGUUUCGGCAAGGGGGUCAUCCCGACUUACCAACCCGAUGCAAACUGCGAAUACCGGAGAAUGUUAUCACGGGAGACACACGGCGGGUGCUAACGUCCGUCGUGAAGAGGGAAACAACCCAGACCGCCAGCUAAGGUCCCAAAGUCAUGGUUAAGUGGGAAACGAUGUGGGAAGGCCCAGACAGCCAGGAUGUUGGCUUAGAAGCAGCCAUCAUUUAAAGAAAGCGUAAUAGCUCACUGGUCGAGUCGGCCUGCGCGGAAGAUGUAACGGGGCUAAACCAUGCAC
RNAcentral lists this ribosomal RNA (629 nucleotides) under Escherichia coli. RNAcentral's name for it is "partial 23S ribosomal RNA". It matches the Rfam family "Bacterial large subunit ribosomal RNA", at positions 566 to 1194 of the family's 2925-position model. Lineage: Bacteria; Pseudomonadati; Pseudomonadota; Gammaproteobacteria; Enterobacterales; Enterobacteriaceae. The record is from RNAcentral.